This is a long non-coding RNA of Zonotrichia albicollis (white-throated sparrow), 448 nucleotides long. RefSeq lists it as uncharacterized. The record is from RefSeq and is a predicted model, not a curated record. Lineage: Eukaryota; Metazoa; Chordata; Aves; Passeriformes; Passerellidae.
UUUCAGCUCUGUUUGGCUCAUCUUCCAUGUAUUGAGGCCACCUAAUACAGGACUUCUGCUUUGGGAAUGGUAUCUGCAUUGCUACAGUGGGGCACUGUGUUUCAACUGAGGCAGUGACAAAAUUGUUCAGACCCCACAGCUUCCUGAAGUGCCUUUCAGCAGAUCUACAUGGCUGAGCAAAUGCAAGGGCUCCGAUCCUCUUUAAAACUAGGCCAGGGAACAAGGAGAUUGCAGAGGGUCUUGUCUCUACAGCUAAUUCAACUUGCACAUAACCUAUAAGUAUGGAAAUCAAGGGGACAAUAAUAAACCAGAUCCCUUUCAAGUGCUGGUAUCUGCUGGUAUUUGGGGUAGCACAGCAGUGCUAUGGAUGGGAUGUGAAUGAAUGAAGUAAUAAAGAGCAUUUUCAGGUGUCAAACAAAGGUUUAAGGUUGGGUACUGUGCUCAUGAC